UUGCCAGGUCACAGCCUGAACCAAUGGUUGAGCAUGAGACCACGCUGCUAAACAGCCAGGGGAGGCUCAUGCUUCCCUAAUAUCCAUCACUCUCUGCUUCCAGCGUGGUCACAGACAGAGCAACAAAGAGGGUCUCAGAGUUUAGGGUUUGGGGUUUAUUUGGUGUUGGACUACUGUUGAUUUUCUGUGGCUUCUACUAAGGAAAUGGAGUGUUCUCACUUUAGAAAGGUUUAUUUGUGGUAUGCACACAGACAACAGUAGCAAAACAUCUAACAGUAAGAACCCAACAAAUCUACCACAGCAGUUUAUAGGGGCUGGAAGCAAAGCUCCCUGAAGUCAGGAGGAGACAUUCCAGUGACUUCAAAUGGCUUUGGAUCAGGCCUGUCACGUGAGAUUAGCUCCUGACAGAGGAUGCUAUGAGCACAGGAGCAGAACAGAACGAUUUAGGGAUGGAAUUUCACUUAUGCCCUAAUCAUCUUUGCUUUGUGAAUCUGUUAGACACAAUCUUUUGAAGCAAUAUUACAUUGAUUUUUGUAUUAAAAAUGUCUGUAUUGCUUUUUGUGUUGUGAAUAUAUGGUUUUACAGAAAUAGCCUUCUAACUUAGGUUUUACAACUACGGUCUAUUUAUGUUUCUAUUUCUUGGCUUCUGUUAAAGGAUUCUUUUUGGAUAUGAGCGUUCAGAAUCUCUUAGGCGAGUUUUUAAUCUUAAUAAUGCUGUGAAUGAUAUACACAAAGUUAAGGAAAGUAUUUUCUAGUGUCAAACAGCAAGUUAAAAACAACUGUUUGAAUUCUGCUUUUCUUGUUCAUGUGUUCUGUACAAGAAGCUAAUGGCUUCCAAAGUUUCUCUUUUAAAAAUAAAAUAAAAUAAAUCACCUAUUCACUCCCACGAAAAAAGCAGAGGAGAUUGCUCCAUAAUUUGUGAAAAAUUGUAGUCAGUUCAACAUGUGCAUUUGAUUUGCAUUUUGAAAUUCAUGUAUCUUACACAUAUUGAAAGUAACCAUGAGAAAGCCCAUGCAGUUUUGUAGAACUAAUAAAAAUGGAAGCAUUUUACAGCACUUCUUUGGUAAGGCCAAAUUUGACUAGGAAGUUGUAAACUUUCAAAGGCGAUUUGUGUUCAUAAAUGAAAGCCUAUCAGACUCGUAAACACUCUAGUGAUGCUGGACAUCAUUAUCUUCAGGGAAAAAUUGCCUUUGGUUCUUAUUGAUUGUGGCUUUUCUAAUGAAUACCAAGUCUGUGUGGUGAAUGAUAAGUGAUGUGUCUGUCACUCCUUCCUCACCCUCAUACAAAAUAAGGCAUUUACUCUCAGCUGGGAUCAGGCACAACCUUGGGUUUGUUUUGUGUGGAUAAAAGGCACCACAAAGGGGAAACAAGGUGGCUGGUGUAACUAUCAGCCACCACCAUGUGCAUGCAAACAUCCCUACUUACACAGACAUGAUUGCAUCCGUAUAUUACACACAUACACAGGGUAAGCACCACAUCUUUUACUUGAACUGAAAAAACUUUGCCUUUUUGCAUUUAGACUGUGAUUAGUUAUUCAGUCAUCUGCAAGUCUAACUCAUCCAAACUUCUCUUAGACUCUGGAAGAGGCUGUUCUUAUUUGUGAAUUAGAUUUAAAUAUGUCAUUUAUGCUUAUGUUGCAUAGGUUUGUAGCAUAGUUACAUGUAAGGAUUGCAAAGACUUGAUUUUUCAGUUUGCUUUAACUUGCCUUUAUCCAUCUGUUGCCUUUCAUGCUUAAAUAUUUACAUGAGGAAUAAAGGAAAUCUUAGCUCUAUACAGCCAGUGGUAUAUUUCUGAGGAAACAGAAAAGGAGAAUUGCUGUUUAUGCGUGGUAUAGCUUAGAAAAAAUGCUGUAAGACAAAUAUUGAAUGUCAUAUGAAGAAAACAUUUUUUUUUUCCUAGCUAAACAGCAUAACAGUGCUUAAUGUAGUAAAAUCUGUAAUGUUGGAGGCAUAUCUUGAGUAAAUUUGCCUUAAAUAGAAAUGAUGAAGUGUAUUUACACUGCAGUCAUAAAAAAAAAAAAUAAACAGUACCGACAAGGAAUUAUCAUCAAAGACAUUUUUAUAGGUUUGGGAAUUCACCCUGAUGCUUUGCUUAUUGUUUUCUUUUUUUUUUUUUUUUUUUGGUAUUAAUCCUUUCUGUAUUGCUGUGUGUGACUGCCUGCCAAAUGUGUCCUUAUAUACGUAGCUGUCUUCAUUUUGAGUUUUAUGGUAGGAAAAUGUGGAUCUAUGUCUUCUGCUGUUUGUGAAUAGGAAAAAAUGCAUAGGAUUUUAU
This is a long non-coding RNA of Lagopus leucura (white-tailed ptarmigan), 2271 nucleotides long. RefSeq lists it as uncharacterized. NCBI's taxonomy places the organism in Eukaryota, Metazoa, Chordata, Aves, Galliformes, Phasianidae. The transcript is spliced from 4 exons. The record is from RefSeq and is a predicted model, not a curated record.